RNAcentral lists this ribosomal RNA (1451 nucleotides) under Carcharodon carcharias (great white shark). RNAcentral describes it as "bacterial SSU rRNA". It matches the Rfam family "Eukaryotic small subunit ribosomal RNA". The record is from RNAcentral. Lineage: Eukaryota; Metazoa; Chordata; Chondrichthyes; Lamniformes; Lamnidae.
CCUGGUUGAUCCUGCCAGUAGCAUUAGCUUGUCUCAAAGAUUAAGCCAUGCAUGUCUAAGUACACAUGGCCGGUACAGUGAAAUUGCAAAUGGCUCAUUAAAUCAGUUAUGGUUCCUUUGAUCAUUCCAAACGUUACUUGGAUAACUGUGGGAGUUCUAGAGCUAAAUACAUGCAAGCGAGCACUGACCCACAUGGGGAUGUGUGCAUUUAUCAGACUAAAAACCAAUCUGGGCUCAGCUGGCAGCUUUGGUGACACUAGAUCACCUCUGGCGACACUAGAUCACCUCUGGCUGAUUGCAUGUUCUCGCAACAAUGAUGACUCGUUCAAAUGUCCACCCUAUCAACUUUCAAUGGUACUUUGUGCCUACCAUGGUGACCACGGGUAACGGGGAAUCAGGGUUCGAUUCCAGAGAGGGAGCCUGAGAAAUGGCUACCACAUUCAAGGAAGGCAGGUGCACAAAUCACCCACUCCCAACUCAGGGGAGGUAGUGACGAAAAACAACAAUCGGGCUGUAAUUGGAAUAAUCCUUUAACAAGGAUCUACUGGAGGGCAAGUCUGGUGCCAGCAGCCAUGAUAAUUCCAGAUCCAAUAAUGUAUAUUGGAGCUGCUGCAGUUAAAAAGCUCGUAGUUGGAUCUUGGGAUCGAGCUGGUGGUCCACCGUGAUGUGAGCUACCGCCUGUCCCAGCCCUGCCUCAUGGCGCUCCCUUGAUGUUCUUAGCCGAGUGUCCUGGGGGUCCGAAGCAGUUACUUUAAAAAAAAUUAGUGGUCAAAGCAAUACGAUUGCAAAGCUAAAACUUAAAGGAAUUGACGGAAGGGCACCGCCAGGAGUGGAGCCUGCAGCUUAAAUUUGACUCAACAUGGGAAACCUCACCUGGCCCAGAUAUGGAAAGGAUUGACAGAUUGAUAGCCCUUUCUCGAUUCUGUGUGUAGUGGUGCAUGAUCGUUCUUAAUUGGUCGGAGCAUUUUGUCUGGUUAAUUCAGGUAACGAACAAGACUCCUCCAUGUUAAGUAGUUACAUGACCCCAAGCGGUCCACGUCCAACUUCUUAGGAGGGACAAGUGGCAUACAGCCACACGAGAUUGAGCAAUUACAGGUCUGUGAUGCCCGGGGCUGCACACACACUAAACUGAAUAGAUCAGCGUGUGUCUACCCUACACCGCCAAGUGUGGGUAACCCAUUGAACCCCAUUCAUAAUAGGGAUUGGGAAUUGCAAUUAUUUCCCAUAAACAAGGAAUUCCCAGUGAGUGUGGGUCAUUAGCUCGCGUUGAUUAAGUCGCUUCCCUUCGUACACACCACCCGUCACUACUACCGAUUGUAUGGUUUAAUGAGGUCCUCAGAUCAGCCCUGCCGUAAUUGGCGACGGCCCUGGCAGAGCAAUAAGAUGAACAAACUUGACUAUCCGGGGAAGUAAAAGUUGUAACGAGGUUUCUGUAGGGGAACCUGUGGAAG